UAGUUUGGAUUUACUUUUAUUUAGAGGCUA
Molecule: non-coding RNA, 30 nt
Filed under: Rattus norvegicus (Norway rat)
Lineage: Eukaryota; Metazoa; Chordata; Mammalia; Rodentia; Muridae
Source: RNAcentral